This 792-nucleotide ribosomal RNA is filed under the name uncultured bacterium. Its description in RNAcentral is "bacterial SSU rRNA". It matches the Rfam family "Bacterial small subunit ribosomal RNA", at positions 8 to 796 of the family's 1533-position model. The record is from RNAcentral.
AGAGUUUGAUCAUGGCUCAGAUUGAACGCUGGCGGAAUGCUUUACACAUGCAAGUCGAGCGGCAGCGCGGGGGCAACCCUGGCGGCGAGCGGCGAACGGGUGAGUAAUACAUCGGAACGUGCCCAGUAAUGGGGGAUAACACAGCGAAAGUUGUGCUAAUACCGCAUACGCCCUGAGGGGGAAAGUGGGGGAUCGCAAGACCUCACGUUAUUGGAGCGGCCGAUGUCGGAUUAGCUAGUUGGUGAGGUAAAGGCUCACCAAGGCGACGAUCCGUAGCGGGUCUGAGAGGACGGCCCGCCACACUGGGACUGAGACACGGCCCAGACUCCUACGGGAGGCAGCAGUGGGGAAUUUUGGACAAUGGGGGCAACCCUGAUCCAGCCAUUCCGCGUGAGUGAAGAAGGCCUUCGGGUUGUAAAGCUCUUUCGGCAGGAACGAAACGGUCUUGGUUAAUACCUGAGGCUAAUGACGGUACCUGAAGAAGAAGCACCGGCUAACUACGUGCCAGCAGCCGCGGUAAUACGUAGGGUGCGAGCGUUAAUCGGAAUUACUGGGCGUAAAGCGUGCGCAGGCGGUUUUAUAAGACAGAUGUGAAAUCCCCGGGCUUAACCUGGGAACUGCGUUUGUGACUGUAGACUCGAGUGUGGCAGAGGGGGGUGGAAUUCCACGUGUAGCAGUGAAAUGCGUAGAGAUGUGGAGGAACACCGAUGGCGAAGGCAGCCCCCUGGGUCAACACUGACGCUCAUGCACGAAAGCGUGGGUAGCAAACAGGAUUAGAUACCCUGGUAGUCC